CCUCUGUCUCUUGCCUCAGUGCCUGGGUGGCUUGCCGCCCACAGACACCAGCGUCUACUCCUCAGCCUCAUCCGACUGCUGUGGCUGCUCCAUGCCUGUGCUGUGCAUCAUGGGCCACAAGCCUCAUGUGACUGUUGACACCUAAACUCACUCAUGCCAGCUAAACUCAUUCACGCCAGUUAAACUCAUUCAUACUAGCUAAACUCAUUUGUACCAGCUAAACUCACUCACACCAGUUAAACUCACUCACACCAGUUAAACUCAUUCGUACCAGCUAAACUCACUCAUGCCAGCUAAACUCACUCACGCCGGCUAAACUCACUCGUACCAGCUAAACUCAUUCGUACCAGCUAAACUCAUUCAUACCAGCUAAACUCACUCAUGCCAGCUAAACUCACUCACGCCGGCUAAACUCACUCAUACCGGCUAAACUCAUUCGUACUAGCUAAACUCAUUCGUACCAGCUAAACUCACUCGUACCAGCUAAACUCACUCACACCAGCUAAACUCACUUGUACCAGCUAAACUCACUCAUGCCAGCUAAACUCACUCAUGCCAGCUAAAUUCACGCCAGCUAAACUCACUCGUACCCGCUAAACUCACUCAUACCAGUUAAACUCACUCAUGCCAGCUAACUCACUCAUGUCAGCUAAACUCACUCAUGCCAGCUAAACUCACUCAUGCCAAUUAAACUCAUUCGUACCAGCUAAACUCACUCAUGCCAGCCACACUUCAGGUGCUCACUGGCCGCCCAUGGUUAGCGGCCACUUCCGGCCCAGCAUGUGCUGCUCUCUGUCUUCUGGUGGGCGUGCAGUGGAGGCUGCCUGUGCUCUGAUUCUGUCUUCUUGAUGAACUGUGAGGCCGAGCACCUUGGAUAGCCUUCUUUGUCUUUUGCCCAUUUUCCUCUUAGCUUUCAUUUUCUUAUUAUUAAUAGGAAUUCUUUAUAUAUUCUCUGUAUGAUUCCUUUGUCAAGUAUGUAU
Molecule: long non-coding RNA, 980 nt
Filed under: Homo sapiens (human)
Lineage: Eukaryota; Metazoa; Chordata; Mammalia; Primates; Hominidae
Description: long non-coding RNA NONHSAT257994
Source: RNAcentral